This 368-nucleotide ribosomal RNA is filed under the name uncultured bacterium. RNAcentral's name for it is "bacterial SSU rRNA". It matches the Rfam family "Bacterial small subunit ribosomal RNA", at positions 28 to 396 of the family's 1533-position model. The record is from RNAcentral.
GACGAACGCUGGCGGCGUGCUUAACACAUGCAAGUCGAGCGGUAAGGCCCUUUCGGGGGUACACGAGCGGCGAACGGGUGAGUAACACGUGGGUGACCUGCCCUCAGCUCUGGGAUAAGCCUGGGAAACCGGGUCUAAUACUGGAUAUGACUCCAUGACGCAUGUUGUGGGGUGGAAAGCCUUGUGCGGCUGAGGAUGGGCCCGCGGCCUAUCAGCUUGUUGGUGGGGUGAUGGCCUACCAAGGCGACGACGGGUAGCCGGCCUGAGAGGGCGACCGGCCACACUGGGACUGAGACACGGCCCCAGACUCCUACGGGAGGCAGCAGUGGGGAAUCUUGCGCAAUGGGCGAAAGCCUGACGCAGCGACG